This 465-nucleotide ribosomal RNA is filed under the name Vreelandella stevensii. RNAcentral's name for it is "partial 16S ribosomal RNA". It matches the Rfam family "Bacterial small subunit ribosomal RNA", at positions 338 to 795 of the family's 1533-position model. The record is from RNAcentral. Lineage: Bacteria; Pseudomonadati; Pseudomonadota; Gammaproteobacteria; Oceanospirillales; Halomonadaceae.
CCUACGGGCGGCAGCAGUGGGGAAUAUUGGACAAUGGGGGGAACCCUGAUCCAGCCAUGCCGCGUGUGUGAAGAAGGCCCUCGGGUUGUAAAGCACUUUCAGUGAGGAAGAACGCCUGGUGGUUAAUACCCAUCAGGAAAGACAUCACUCACAGAAGAAGCACCGGCUAACUCCGUGCCAGCAGCCGCGGUAAUACGGAGGGUGCGAGCGUUAAUCGGAAUUACUGGGCGUAAAGCGCGCGUAGGUGGCUUGAUAAGCCGGUUGUGAAAGCCCCGGGCUCAACCUGGGAACGGCAUCCGGAACUGUCAAGCUAGAGUGCAGGAGAGGAAGGUAGAAUUCCCGGUGUAGCGGUGAAAUGCGUAGCGAUCGGGAGGAAUACCAGUGGCGAAGGCGGCCUUCUGGACUGACACUGACACUGAGGUGCGAAAGCGUGGGUAGCAAACAGGAUUAGAUACCCGAGUAGUC